Molecule: RNA transcript, 1695 nt
Organism: Lolium perenne
Lineage: Eukaryota; Viridiplantae; Streptophyta; Magnoliopsida; Poales; Poaceae
Gene name: transcription termination factor MTERF8, chloroplastic
Source: RefSeq, a predicted model, not a curated record
UAAACAAGGCCGGAAGAAGACAUUUCCCUCCCAAAAUCGGGAAAGAAGAUAAGAUUUUACACGCCCUACAUUAUCCCCAAGCCGUCGGGAAACCAUCCGCCGGCCGGCCGCCCGCCGCCGGAACGCUAUGAUCCAUCUCCGAGCGCGCAUCCUCUCUUUCCUCCUACACUCCCCGUCCCGUCACCCCGCCUCCCGCUUCUCUCCCAUCUUCGCCCUUCACCGCAACCUCUCCGCCACCACCACAUCCACUGCAGCAACCCCUUUCGCCGCCGAGGACUACCUCGUCGCCACCUGCGGCGUCACCCGCGCCCAGGCCCUCAAGGCAUCCAAGAAGAUCUCCCACCUCAAAUCCUCCUCCAAGCCCGACGCCGUCCUCGCCUUCCUCUCCGACCUCGGGGUCCCCCGCUCCGACAUCACCACCCUCGUCGCCGUCGACCCGCGGUUCCUCUGCGCCAGCGUGGAGAGGACUCUGGCGCCGCGCGUCACCGAGCUCAGCGAGCUCGGUCUCUCGCGCUCCCAGAUCGCGCGCCUCGUCCCGCUCGCCCUCUGUUCCUUCCGCAGCAGCUCCCUCAGCCGCAACCUCGACUUCUGGCUCUCGGUCUUCGGCUCCUACGACAAGCUCCUCAAGGCCCUCCGGAUGAACUCCGGCCUCCUCGCCGCCGACCUCGACAAGGUGGCCAAGCCAAAUCUGGCCCUCCUCCAGCAGUGCGGGCUAAACCCCUCUCUCUUCUCCGAGCCCUUCAUUUCCCGGGUGCUCGUCAGGACCCCGCAGCAGGUCCAGGACGCUCUGGCGCACAUUGACAAGUUCGGCGUGUCGCAGAAUUCGCGGAUGUUCCUCUACGCGCUCGUGGCGUUCACGCUGCAGAGUCCCGAGAAGCUCACCGACAAGAUUCAGGUCCUCGAGACGCUUGGCUGGUCGCAUGACGAUGUGCUGCUGGCUGUGAAGAAGAUGCCGGGUAUCCUGACCGUGUCCGAGGAGAGGCUGCAGAGGAAUAUGCAUUUCCUGACAAAGGUUGCUGGACUGGAGAUAUCCUACAUCGCUCAAAGGCCGGUGCUGCUCAAGUACAGCCUCGAGCGCCGUCUGUUCCCUCGGUACCGCUUGCUUAAGUUACUCAACGAGAAGGGGCUGCUGGAUCUCCGGUUCGAUUACUAUGCUGCCUCGCUAUCCGAGAAGAAGUUUCUUGCCAAGUUCGUGCAUCCUUACAAGGAGAGUUUACCAGGCCUCGCUGAUGUUUAUGCUUCUACCUGUGCUCAGAAAAUACCCAUGGAAUUGCUACCAAAGAAGGAGAACUAGAUAAUGUGCCAUGGCUGUCAUGGGUGAGUACCAUAGGAUUGCUGUGUUGGGCCCAAGAGUUUAAGGUCAUAUGGCAAGGGAUCUCCUUCUCCAUUGGCGACAACAUCUUCUCCCAGCUUCAUAUCAGGAUAUACAUGGCUAUGAUGUCUAUCAGGCUCUUCAUUAUGCAGAGGCCGGGUGUAUUGCUUGUUUUGAGUAAUAAAGCGCCUUUUAUCGAAAAAUCAUGCUCUUCAUUACGAGGUCAAAGUGACACAUAUGAAGUCCUUGGCUCUAAAAUAAUUCCUGAUGCCUUACAAGCCUAGUAGCUUAUACGGAGUAUAUAAAAACCAUCUCUGCUCUCCAAAUAUAUGGACGUCCGUUCAUCAUCACCAUACUAACCGAGACUAAGAAGCUUACGAUAG